RNAcentral lists this ribosomal RNA (802 nucleotides) under Bacillus licheniformis. RNAcentral's name for it is "bacterial SSU rRNA". It matches the Rfam family "Bacterial small subunit ribosomal RNA", at positions 164 to 945 of the family's 1533-position model. The record is from RNAcentral. RNAcentral also lists the same sequence under 1 other name. Lineage: Bacteria; Bacillati; Bacillota; Bacilli; Caryophanales; Bacillaceae.
UAAUACCGGAUGCUUGAUUGAACCGCAUGGUUCAAUUAUAAAAGGUGGCUUUUAGCUACCACUUACAGAUGGACCCGCGGCGCAUUAGCUAGUUGGUGAGGUAACGGCUCACCAAGGCAACGAUGCGUACCCAACCUGAGAGGGUGAUCGGCCACACUGGGACUGAAACACGGCCCAAACUCCUACGGGAGGCAGCAGUAGGGAAUCUUCCGCAAUGGACAAAAGUCUGACGGACCACCGCCGCGGGAGUGAUGAAGGUUUUCGGAUCGUAAAACUCUGUUGUUAGGGAAAAACAAGUACCGUUCGAAUAGGGCGGUACCUUGACGGUACCUAACCAAAAAGCCACGGCUAACUACGUGCCAGCAGCCGCGGUAAUACGUAGGUGGCAAGCGUUGUCCGGAAUUAUUGGGCGUAAAGCGCGCGCAGGCGGUUUCUUAAGUCUGAUGUGAAAGCCCCCGGCUCACCCGGGGAGGGUCAUUGGAAACUGGGGAACUUGAGUGCAAAAAAGGAGAGUGGAAUUCCACGUGUAGCGGUGAAAUGCGUAAAGAUGUGGAGGACCAGCCAGUGGCGAAGGCGACUCUCUGGUCUGUAACUGACGCUGAGGCGCGAAAGCGUGGGGAGCGAACAGGAUUAGAUACCCUGGUAGUCCACGCCGUAAACGAUGAGUGCUAAGUGUUAGAGGGUUUCCGCCCUUUUAGUGCUGCAGCAAACGCAUUAAGCAACUCCGCCUGGGGAGUACGGUCGCAAGACUGAAACUCAAAGGAAUUGACGGGGGGCCCGCACAAGCGGUGGAGCAUGUGGU